Molecule: ribosomal RNA, 482 nt
Filed under: uncultured bacterium
Lineage: Bacteria
Description: partial 16S ribosomal RNA
Rfam family: Bacterial small subunit ribosomal RNA
Source: RNAcentral
AUUGAACGCUGGCGGCAUGCCUUACACAUGCAAGUCGAACGGUAACAGGUCUUCGGAUGCUGACGAGUGGCGAACGGGUGAGUAAUACAUCGGAACGUGCCCGAUCGUGGGGGAUAACGAGGCGAAAGCUUUGCUAAUACCGCAUACGAUCUACGGAUGAAAGCGGGGGACCUCCGGACCUCGCGCGGACGGAGCGGCCGAUGGCAGAUUAGGUAGUUGGUGGGAUAAAAGCUUACCAAGCCGACGAUCUGUAGCUGGUCUGAGAGGAUGAUCAGCCACACUGGGACUGAGACACGGCCCAGACUCCUACGGGAGGCAGCAGUGGGGAAUUUUGGACAAAGGGCGAAAGCCUGAUCCAGCCAUGCCGCGUGCAGGAUGAAGGCCUUCGGGUUGUAAACUGCUUUUGUACGGAACGAAAAGCCUCUUUCUAAUAAAGAGGGGUCAUGACGGUACCGUAAGAAUAAGCACCGGCUAACUACGUG